This 564-nucleotide ribosomal RNA is filed under the name uncultured bacterium. RNAcentral describes it as "bacterial SSU rRNA". It matches the Rfam family "Bacterial small subunit ribosomal RNA", at positions 778 to 1346 of the family's 1533-position model. The record is from RNAcentral.
AUAGAUACCCGGGUAGUCCACGCCGUAAACGAUGGGUACUAGGUGUGGGAGUCGUCAUGACUUCCGUGCCGCCGUUAACACAAUAAGUACCCCGCCUGGGGAGUACGGUCGCAAGAUUAAAACUCAAAGGAAUUGACGGGGGCCCGCACAAGCAGCGGAGCAUGUGGUUUAAUUCGAAGCAACGCGAAGAACCUUACCUAGACUUGACAUCUCCUGAAUUACCCUUAACCGGGGAAGCCCUUCGGGGCAGGAAGACAGGUGGUGCAUGGUUGUCGUCAGCUCGUGUCGUGAGAUGUUGGGUUAAGUCCCGCAACGAGCGCAACCCUUAUUAUUAGUUGCUACCAUUAAGUUGAGCACUCUAGUAAGACUGCCCGGGUUAACCGGGAGGAAGGUGGGGAUGACGUCAAAUCAUCAUGCCCCUUAUGUCUAGGGCUACACACGUGCUACAAUGGUAGGUACAACAAGAUGCAAAGCCGUGAGGUGGAGCAAAACUGUAAAACCUAUCCCAGUUCGGAUUGAAGGCUGAAACUCGCCUUCAUGAAGCCGGAGUUGCUAGUAAUCGCG